GCCUGAGUGGCUCAGUCGGUUGAGCAUCUGACUUCAGCUCAGGUCAUGAUCUCAUGGGUUGUGAGUUCGAGCCCUGCAUUGGGCU
This 85-nucleotide transfer RNA is filed under the name Felis catus (domestic cat). It matches the Rfam family "tRNA". From Rfam's summary of the family: Transfer RNA (tRNA) molecules are approximately 80 nucleotides in length. Their secondary structure includes four short double-helical elements and three loops (D, anti-codon, and T loops). Further hydrogen bonds mediate the characteristic L-shaped molecular structure. tRNAs have two regions of fundamental functional importance: the anti-codon, which is responsible for specific mRNA codon recognition, and the 3' end, to which the tRNAs corresponding amino acid is attached (by aminoacyl-tRNA synthetases). tRNAs cope with the degeneracy of the genetic code in two manners: having more than one tRNA (with a specific anti-codon) for a particular amino acid; and 'wobble' base-pairing, i.e. permitting non-standard base-pairing at the 3rd anti-codon position. The record is from Rfam by way of RNAcentral. Lineage: Eukaryota; Metazoa; Chordata; Mammalia; Carnivora; Felidae.